AAUGCGGCCACUUUCAUUUAAGACGGGAACCGUCUAAACUUUAACUAAAAUGAUAAAAUUGUGAAGAUUUCAGUAAUUUAGCAUGACUUAAUGAUGCUAGUACCCGAUAUAUGUGCAUUGAAUUGUCAAAAACAGAAUAGUAUUUGGCAUAUUUCAUUAGUUCUUAAUAGGCCAGAAUAUUAUCCAAAAUCCUCCUGCACCGUACAUUUAUUUAAAAUAAAACUUUAAAACUGAAACCAUUUCGAUGUAAUAAGGGACAGA
This 261-nucleotide long non-coding RNA is filed under the name Mytilus galloprovincialis (Mediterranean mussel). The record is from RNAcentral. Lineage: Eukaryota; Metazoa; Mollusca; Bivalvia; Mytilida; Mytilidae.